This 775-nucleotide ribosomal RNA is filed under the name uncultured Neocallimastigales. RNAcentral's name for it is "partial large subunit ribosomal RNA". It matches the Rfam family "Eukaryotic large subunit ribosomal RNA", at positions 23 to 616 of the family's 3401-position model. The record is from RNAcentral. Lineage: Eukaryota; Fungi; Neocallimastigomycota; Neocallimastigomycetes; Neocallimastigales.
AGAGAGAGACAUGCGCGCAUAUCAAUAAGCGGAGGAAAAGCAACUAACAAGGAUUCCCCUAGUAACGGCGAGUGAAGCGGGAAGAGCUCAAAUUUGAAAUCUUAAAGGGUUUCCCUUUACGAAUUGUAGUUUAAAGAAGUGUUUUCUGUUGAGGUUUUGGUAAAAGUUCUUUGGAAUAGGACAUCAUAGAGGGUGAGAGUCCCGUAUUUGACCUUUACUUUCAACUUUGUGAUACACUUUCAAAGAGUCGGAUUGUUUGGGAAUGCAGUCCAAAAUGGGUGGUAAAUUUCAUCUAAAGCUAAAUAUUGGCGAGAGACCGAUAGGCGAACAAGUACCGUGAGGGAAAGAUGAAAAGAACUUUGAAAAGAGAGUUAAACAGUACGUGAAAUUGUCAAAAGGGAAGCGUUUGACACCAGUGUUGUUUUUCUGAAAAUCAAUUAAAGAACUGUUUAUGCUAAGUUGUUUAGACUUUAUCAGCUAACUGUUUAGUUUUGAGCUUUUCUUUAAUGCACUUUUCAGUUAACAAGUCAACAUCAAUUUCUUUUGCUGUAAAAAAGCUUGAGGAAGGUGGCUUGAGAUUCGUCUUAAGUGUUUAUAGCCUCUUGCCUAUGCAGUCGGAGAGAUUGAGGUCUGCAGCGUAGAUCCUUCGGGGCUAAAUGCAUUUGUGCUAAGUUAUAGCAUUUUAUAGACAACUUGUUGACUAUGAUUUGUCUUGUAGCUUACUCGCUUAUGUUAUUUUACCUACGCUUAGGAUGUUGAGCGCAUGUCUCUCUCU